This 29-nucleotide non-coding RNA is filed under the name Rattus norvegicus (Norway rat). Lineage: Eukaryota; Metazoa; Chordata; Mammalia; Rodentia; Muridae. The record is from RNAcentral.
UGGGAUGCACAGGACAGUAGUAAAGGGGA